AGCAACAAAUGCCCUGCUUCCAGGAAAAGCCUCUAAGCAUCAGGUAACAUCAAAUCGUACCCCAAACCGACACAGGUGGUCAGGUAGAGAAUACCAAGGCGCUUGAGAGAACUCGGGUGAAGGAACUAGGCAAAAUGGUGCCGUAACUUCGGGAGAAGGCACGCUGACACGUAGGUGAAGUGAUUUACUCAUGGAGCUGAAGUCAGUCGAAGAUACCAGCUGGCUGCAACUGUUUAUUAAAAACACAGCACUGUGCAAACACGAAAGUGGACGUAUACGGUGUGACGCCUGCCCGGUGCCGGAAGGUUA
RNAcentral lists this ribosomal RNA (309 nucleotides) under Salmonella enterica subsp. enterica serovar Saintpaul. RNAcentral's name for it is "partial 23S ribosomal RNA". It matches the Rfam family "Bacterial large subunit ribosomal RNA", at positions 1589 to 1879 of the family's 2925-position model. RNAcentral also lists the same sequence under 1 other name. Lineage: Bacteria; Pseudomonadati; Pseudomonadota; Gammaproteobacteria; Enterobacterales; Enterobacteriaceae. The record is from RNAcentral.